AGUGAACGCUGGCGGUAGGCCUAACACAUGCAAGUCGAACGGCAGCACAGUAAGAGCUUUCUCUUACGGGUGGCGAGUGGCGGACGGGUGAGGAAUACAUCGGAAUCUACUUUUUCGUGGGGGAUAACGUAGGGAAACUUACGCUAAUACCGCAUACGACCUACGGGUGAAAGCAGGGGAUCUUCGGACCUUGCGCGAUUGAAUUAGCCGAUGUCGGAUUAGCUAGUUGGCGUGGUAACGGCCCACCAAGGCGACGAUCCGUAGCUGGUCUGAGAGGAUGAUCAGCCACACUGGAACAGAGACACGGUCCAGACGCCUACGGGAGGCAGCAGUAGGGAGUGUUCGGCAAUGGGCGAAAGCCUGACCGAGCAACGCCGCGUGAGUGAAGAAGGCCUUCGGAUCGUAAAGCUCUUUUAUUGGGAAAGAAAAGAAGCGGAAGAAUCUCCGCAUAUCUUGACGGUACCUAAACAGAAAGCAACGGCUAACUACGUG
Molecule: ribosomal RNA, 492 nt
Filed under: uncultured bacterium
Lineage: Bacteria
Description: partial 16S ribosomal RNA
Rfam family: Bacterial small subunit ribosomal RNA
Source: RNAcentral